Molecule: ribosomal RNA, 468 nt
Filed under: uncultured bacterium
Lineage: Bacteria
Description: partial 16S ribosomal RNA
Rfam family: Bacterial small subunit ribosomal RNA
Source: RNAcentral
GACGAACGCUGGCGGCGUGCUUAACACAUGCAAGUCGAACGGAAAGGCCCUGCUUUUGUGGGGUGCGCGAGUGGCGAACGGGUGAGUAACACGUGAGUAACCUGCCCUUGACUUUGGGAUAACUUCAGGAAACUGGGGCUAAUACCGGAUAGGAGCUCCUGCUGCAUGGUGGGGGUUGGAAAGUUUCGGCGGUUGGGGAUGGACUCGCGGCUUAUCAGCUUGUUGGUGGGGUAGUGGCUUACCAAGGCUUUGACGGGUAGCCGGCCUGAGAGGGUGACCGGCCACAUUGGGACUGAGAUACGGCCAAGCCUCCUACGGGAGGCAGCGGUGGGGAAUAUUGACCAAUGGGCGGAAGCCUGUUGCAGCAACGCCGCGUGCGGGAUGACGGCCUUCGGGUUGUAAACCGCUUUCGCAUGUAACGAGGCGUGAGUGACGGUAAUGGGUAAAGAAGCACCGGCUAACUACGUG